GUAGGGUGCAAGCGUUAAUCGGAAUUACUGGGCGUAAAGCGUGCGCAGGCGGUUUUGUAAGUCUGAUGUGAAAUCCCCGGGCUCAACCUGGGAAUUGCAUUGGAGACUGCAAGGCUAGAAUCUGGCAGAGGGGGGUAGAAUUCCACGUGUAGCAGUGAAAUGCGUAGAUAUGUGGAGGAACACCGAUGGCGAAGGCAGCCCCCUGGGUCAAGAUUAACGCUCAUGCACGAAAGCGUGGGGGGAGCAAACAGGAUUAGAUACCCUGGUAGUCCACGCCCCUAAACGAUGUCUACUAGUUGUCGGGUCUUAAUUGACUUGGUAACGCAGCUAACGCGUGAAGUAGACCGCCUGGGAGUACGGUCGCAAGAUUA
Molecule: ribosomal RNA, 371 nt
Filed under: uncultured organism
Description: partial 16S ribosomal RNA
Rfam family: Bacterial small subunit ribosomal RNA
Source: RNAcentral